This 484-nucleotide ribosomal RNA is filed under the name Fusarium oxysporum. RNAcentral's name for it is "eukaryotic LSU rRNA". The stretch from base 131 to 284 matches the Rfam family "5.8S ribosomal RNA". The record is from RNAcentral. Lineage: Eukaryota; Fungi; Ascomycota; Sordariomycetes; Hypocreales; Nectriaceae.
AACCCCUGUGAACAUACCACUUGUUGCCUCGGCGGAUCAGCCCGCUCCCGGUAAAACGGGACGGCCCGCCAGAGGACCCCUAAACUCUGUUUCUAUAUGUAACUUCUGAGUAAAACCAUAAAUAAAUCAAAACUUUCAACAACGGAUCUCUUGGUUCUGGCAUCGAUGAAGAACGCAGCAAAAUGCGAUAAGUAAUGGGAAUUGCAGAAUUCAGUGAAUCAUCGAAUCUUUGAACGCACAUUGCGCCCGCCAGUAUUCUGGCGGGCAUGCCUGUUCGAGCGUCAUUUCAACCCUCAAGCACAGCUUGGUGUUGGGACUCGCGUUAAUUCGCGUUCCCCAAAUUGAUUGGCGGUCACGUCGAGCUUCCAUAGCGUAGUAGUAAAACCCUCGUUACUGGUAAUCGUCGCGGCCACGCCGUUAAACCCCAACUUCUGAAUGUUGACCUCGGAUCAGGUAGGAAUACCCGCUGAACUUAAGCAUAUCA